Molecule: long non-coding RNA, 1084 nt
Organism: Marmota monax (woodchuck)
Lineage: Eukaryota; Metazoa; Chordata; Mammalia; Rodentia; Sciuridae
Exons: 6
Source: RefSeq, a predicted model, not a curated record
AUUGGAAAGCAUUACCUGAGAAUGCCAAUAAACUGCAUGCCUGUUGCAUAAUUUAAAAGUGAAUGAAAACUUGGCAUAUUUGAGCAUGCUCCAAAUGGGGUUUGUGUAAUGAUGUUGUUCAAAUGUCUGACCUGAAAUGAGCAUGUAGACAAGUUUUAUGCUGAAGAACCCAAGACAUACAGUUUGAAGAGAAUUGAUGACAUUUAGCAUACUAACAAAGUUCCUCAUACUUUCAUUUGUAGUUCCUGGAAACACAUUUUGAUCUGGAUAGCAUGAUUGGGUAAGACCACAAAAACAAUUUUUUAGUUCCUGAUGUCUUAGGUUUAUAGUUUUGAAACAUAAUUUUACUAAUGAAUUGUUAAGUCUAAGGAUUAUUUCUUGUUAAACCAGUAGACCAGAAAUAACUUUACUAUAUAUAAAGUAGAUUUAACAAUUGAAUAAGGGUUGCAAGUAUUUGUAAAUAAGGUAAAUAACUGUUUUCAAAGUUAGUAUGAAACUGUUGGGAAGAAGUUUCUAAAGCAAUAACUUUACAGAUUGGAGACCUGUUUUUUUUAAUAUUUUAAAGUUGUUGAUGGACCUUUAUUAUGUGGUGCUGAGAAUCGAACACAGUGCCUCAUGCAUGCCAGGCAAGCGUGCAACCACUGAGUCACAACCCCAGCCCUGAAACUAUUUAAAGGUACACAGACUCAGCUUGGGAAGCAGUGGCAAGAAGUUUUAAGCAAAGGAGUGAAGCUGGACAAGGUGUGUCUAUGAUCCUCCUAUCUACACUAUCCUGAGGGAUGACCAUCUCAUGAGCCCAGGAGAUAGUGGCCAGGAGAAGCAAUAAUGAGAACUCUUGAAUUCAUGAUUGGGGAGGUUUGCUGCAUCCUGAGAUCUAGGGCUUUUGUGGCAGCUGCAGGGAUAUCACUUAACCUUUAGGUAGCUGGAUGGAUGCUCUUUUGGGAUAGAAGAUUGAAUAUGUCAUCACUUUAAGUUUCUGAAGAGAUCUGAGUCUAGUUUUGGGCUGCGGGUUGAACCUAUGAAGUAUAUUUCAAGCAUGAUGGGGAAGGGAAUAAAGGUGCCUAAUAAAAGUCACUAAGGAAAA